AAGAACAUUUCUUUGUCAGCUUGGUGUUUGAGGAAGAUGUACGUUUCACUGACUUCAGAGAUUGUAGGUCUCCUGGUCAAUGCAAGAGAGAGAAGAGAAGGUUAGAACUGGACAAGUGGAUAGGUAUUUUCUGAAUAGCCAAUAUUAAUAGGGUCUGAAACUGGAAGUCAUGGGGGAGACUCUGAAAAGCAAAGAAAUAAGACCCGUGUUUUCCCUCUUUGAUUACACUGUCAUAACUAAUCACUCUAUAUGCUCAUCCUACCACAGAUGACCCAAGGAAGACUGCAUCUGAUUAAAUAAAAUCAUCAUCUUCUCCAGAAGUUGAAAAGGAUCUUAAAAAUCUGGACCCUUUGCACAGGACUGGAUCUAUGACAAGAACAAAGGGAUCUGAACAGAAUUUGGAACCAUAUAUCUUGUUUCUCAAGGACCAGGAUUUCUCUUUUCCCAAACUCUGGCCAACUCAGCUCAUCCUGCAGGAACCUGGAGUCAGGACUGUCUACACUGUGACCAGGACCACCGCUCACACCCUGCUUCAGUUGAGUAGUUCACAGUGUCUUCUGACAGCCAGAGAAAUUGUGAUGAUGCUGAGUGAUGUGGAGAUGCAAUAAUUAUCCUAGUAUUUCACAAAUCUCCAUAGCCAACCUGUGUCACCCUUAAGAAACCAAAGAGUAAAAAGAUAUGCGCAAUGAUAGAACAUGUACAAUCUAUAUCAAAUUGCUUACUGUCUCAGGGAGGGGAGAGAGAAAAUUUGGAACUUAAAAAAUGAAUGUUAAAAAUUACUUUUACAUGCAACAGGGGAAAAUAAAAAGAAAAAACAUGCAAAAAAUAUAUGUCAAAGUUGAAAGCAAGUGUCCAAGUUGAAAGGGACAUCAGAUCACAGAUCUAGAGUGGGAAGAAAUCCUGAAGGAGAGCAAGACUAACCCUUUAAUUUUACACAAGAGGUCCAGAGAGCUUAAACAAUCUGUCCUGAUCACACAGCACUAAGUGAUGAGGGCAGGAGGCAAACCUAGCUUUUCCUGACUCCAGGUUCAGUACACUAUACAUCAGGCUACCCUGUCUCUGAGGCAGGCCAGAGGAUUUCAUCAUGGAGCCCAAUCCCCUUGAUUUAUAGCCAAGAAAGCUUAGCCUCAAAACUAGCUCAAGGUCUCAUGGCUCCUGAAGUUGCAGAACCACA
Molecule: long non-coding RNA, 1174 nt
Organism: Antechinus flavipes (yellow-footed antechinus)
Lineage: Eukaryota; Metazoa; Chordata; Mammalia; Dasyuromorphia; Dasyuridae
Exons: 3
Source: RefSeq, a predicted model, not a curated record